This 468-nucleotide ribosomal RNA is filed under the name uncultured bacterium. RNAcentral describes it as "partial 16S ribosomal RNA". It matches the Rfam family "Bacterial small subunit ribosomal RNA", at positions 28 to 507 of the family's 1533-position model. The record is from RNAcentral.
GACGAACGCUGGCGGCGUGCUUAACACAUGCAAGUCGAACGGAAAGGCCCUGCUUUUGUGGGGUGCUCGAGUGGCGAACGGGUGAGUAACACGUGAGUAACCUGCCCUUGACUUUGGGAUAACUUCAGGAAACUGGGGCUAAUACCGGAUAGGAGCUCCUGCUGCAUGGUGGGGGUUGGAAAGUUUCGGCGGUUGGGGAUGGACUCGCGGCUUAUCAGCUUGUUGGCGGGGUAGUGGCUUACCAAGGCUUUGACGGGUAGCCGGCCUGAGAGGGUGACCGGCCACAUUGGGACUGGGAUACGGCCCAGACUCCUACGGGAGGCAGCAGUGGGGAAUAUUGCACAAUGGGCGGAAGCCUGAUGCAGCAACGCCGCGUGCGGGAUGACGGCCUUCGGGUUGUAAACCGCUUUCGCCUGUGACGAAGCGUGAGUGACGGUAAUGGGUAAAGAAGCACCGGCUAACUACGUG